GGGAGCCUAUACAGGUGUUGCAUGGCUGUCGUCAGCUCGUGUCGUGAGAUGUUCGGUUAAGUCCGCUAACGAGCGCAACCCUCGUCGUAUGUUAUAUGUGUCAUACGAGACUGCCGGUAAAAGCCGGAGGAAGGUGAGGAUGAUGUCAAGUCAGCAUGACCUUUAUAUCCAGGGCUACACACACGCUACAAUGGUCUGUACAAUGGGUAGCCAAGCCGCGAGGCGGAGCCAACCCUGAAAGCAGGCCUCAGUUCAGAUUGCAGUCUGCAACUCGACUGCAUGAAGCCGGAGUUGCUAGUAACCGCAGGUCAGCAAUACUGCGGUGAAUACGUUCCCGGGUCUU
This 343-nucleotide ribosomal RNA is filed under the name uncultured Anaerolineaceae bacterium. Its description in RNAcentral is "bacterial SSU rRNA". It matches the Rfam family "Bacterial small subunit ribosomal RNA", at positions 1024 to 1382 of the family's 1533-position model. Lineage: Bacteria; Bacillati; Chloroflexota; Anaerolineae; Anaerolineales; Anaerolineaceae. The record is from RNAcentral.